GGGUUGUGAGGUUAAGCGACUAAGCGUACACGGUGGAUGCCCUGGCAGUCAGAGGCGAUGAAGGACGUGCUAAUCUGCGAUAAGCGUCGGUAAGGUGAUAUGAACCGUUAUAACCGGCGAUUUCCGAAUGGGGAAACCCAGUGUGAUUCGUCACACUAUCAUUAACUGAAUCCAUAGGUUAAUGAGGCGAACCGGGGGAACUGAAACAUCUAAGUACCCCGAGGAAAAGAAAUCAACCGAGAUUCCCCCAGUAGCGGCGAGCGAACGGGGAGGAGCCCAGAGCCUGAAUCAGUGUGUGUGUUAGUGGAAGCGUCUGGAAAGGCGCGCGAUACAGGGUGACAGCCCCGUACACAAAAAUGCACAUGCUGUGAGCUCGAUGAGUAGGGCGGGACACGUGGUAUCCUGUCUGAAUAUGGGGGGACCAUCCUCCAAGGCUAAAUACUCCUGACUGACCGAUAGUGAACCAGUACCGUGAGGGAAAGGCGAAAAGAACCCCGGCGAGGGGAGUGAAAAAGAACCUGAAACCGUGUACGUACAAGCAGUGGGAGCACGCUUCGGCGUGUGACUGCGUACCUUUUGUAUAAUGGGUCAGCGACUUAUAUUCUGUAGCAAGGUUAACCGAAUAGGGGAGCCGAAGGGAAACCGAGUCUUAACUGGGCGUUAAGUUGCAGGGUAUAGACCCGAAACCCGGUGAUCUAGCCAUGGGCAGGUUGAAGGUUGGGUAACACUAACUGGAGGACCGAACCGACUAAUGUUGAAAAAUUAGCGGAUGACUUGUGGCUGGGGGUGAAAGGCCAAUCAAACCGGGAGAUAGCUGGUUCUCCCCGAAAGCUAUUUAGGUAGCGCCUCGUGAAUUCAUCUCCGGGGGUAGAGCACUGUUUCGGCAAGGGGGUCAUCCCGACUUACCAACCCGAUGCAAACUGCGAAUACCGGAGAAUGUUAUCACGGGAGACACACGGCGGGUGCUAACGUCCGUCGUGAAGAGGGAAACAACCCAGACCGCCAGCUAAGGUCCCAAAGUCAUGGUUAAGUGGGAAACGAUGUGGGAAGGCCCAGACAGCCAGGAUGUUGGCUUAGAAGCAGCCAUCAUUUAAAGAAAGCGUAAUAGCUCACUGGUCGAGUCGGCCUGCGCGGAAGAUGUAACGGGGCUAAACCAUGCACCGAAGCUGCGGCAGCGACACUAUGUGUUGUUGGGUAGGGGAGCGUUCUGUAAGCCUGCGAAGGUGGCCUGUGAGGGUUGCUGGAGGUAUCAGAAGUGCGAAUGCUGACAUAAGUAACGAUAAAGCGGGUGAAAAGCCCGCUCGCCGGAAGACCAAGGGUUCCUGUCCAACGUUAAUCGGGGCAGGGUGAGUCGACCCCUAAGGCGAGGCCGAAAGGCGUAGUCGAUGGGAAACAGGUUAAUAUUCCUGUACUUGGUGUUACUGCGAAGGGGGGACGGAGAAGGCUAUGUUGGCCGGGCGACGGUUGUCCCGGUUUAAGCGUGUAGGCUGGUUUUCCAGGCAAAUCCGGAAAAUCAAGGCUGAGGCGUGAUGACGAGGCACUACGGUGCUGAAGCAACAAAUGCCCUGCUUCCAGGAAAAGCCUCUAAGCAUCAGGUAACAUCAAAUCGUACCCCAAACCGACACAGGUGGUCAGGUAGAGAAUACCAAGGCGCUUGAGAGAACUCGGGUGAAGGAACUAGGCAAAAUGGUGCCGUAACUUCGGGAGAAGGCACGCUGAUAUGUAGGUGAAGCGACUUGCUCGUGGAGCUGAAAUCAGUCGAAGAUACCAGCUGGCUGCAACUGUUUAUUAAAAACACAGCACUGUGCAAACACGAAAGUGGACGUAUACGGUGUGACGCCUGCCCGGUGCCGGAAGGUUAAUUGAUGGGGUCAGCGGUAACGCGAAGCUCUUGAUCGAAGCCCCGGUAAACGGCGGCCGUAACUAUAACGGUCCUAAGGUAGCGAAAUUCCUUGUCGGGUAAGUUCCGACCUGCACGAAUGGCGUAAUGAUGGCCAGGCUGUCUCCACCCGAGACUCAGUGAAAUUGAACUCGCUGUGAAGAUGCAGUGUACCCGCGGCAAGACGGAAAGACCCCGUGAACCUUUACUAUAGCUUGACACUGAACAUUGAGCCUUGAUGUGUAGGAUAGGUGGGAGGCUUUGAAGUGUGGACGCCAGUCUGCAUGGAGCCGACCUUGAAAUACCACCCUUUAAUGUUUGAUGUUCUAACGUUGGCCCCUGAUCGGGGUUGCGGACAGUGUCUGGUGGGUAGUUUGACUGGGGCGGUCUCCUCCUAAAGAGUAACGGAGGAGCACGAAGGUUGGCUAAUCCUGGUCGGACAUCAGGAGGUUAGUGCAAUGGCAUAAGCCAGCUUGACUGCGAGCGUGACGGCGCGAGCAGGUGCGAAAGCAGGUCAUAGUGAUCCGGUGGUUCUGAAUGGAAGGGCCAUCGCUCAACGGAUAAAAGGUACUCCGGGGAUAACAGGCUGAUACCGCCCAAGAGUUCAUAUCGACGGCGGUGUUUGGCACCUCGAUGUCGGCUCAUCACAUCCUGGGGCUGAAGUAGGUCCCAAGGGUAUGGCUGUUCGCCAUUUAAAGUGGUACGCGAGCUGGGUUUAGAACGUCGUGAGACAGUUCGGUCCCUAUCUGCCGUGGGCGCUGGAGAACUGAGGGGGGCUGCUCCUAGUACGAGAGGACCGGAGUGGACGCAUCACUGGUGUUCGGGUUGUCAUGCCAAUGGCACUGCCCGGUAGCUAAAUGCGGAAGAGAUAAGUGCUGAAAGCAUCUAAGCACGAAACUUGCCCCGAGAUGAGUUCUCCCUGACUCCCUGAGAGUCCUGAAGGAACGUUGAAGACGACGACGUUGAUAGGCCGGGUGUGUAAGCGCAGCGAUGCGUUGAGCUAACCGGUACUAAUGAACCGUGAGGCUUAACCUUACAACGCCGAAGGUGUUU
This 2932-nucleotide ribosomal RNA is filed under the name Escherichia coli. Its description in RNAcentral is "bacterial LSU rRNA". It matches the Rfam family "Bacterial large subunit ribosomal RNA". Lineage: Bacteria; Pseudomonadati; Pseudomonadota; Gammaproteobacteria; Enterobacterales; Enterobacteriaceae. The record is from RNAcentral.